AAACGCUUGAAGUCAGUCACAUUGGCUAGAAAUCAGCCUUGCUUUUGCUUGGUGUAUUUUCUAGUGAAUGGGUCAGCAUCAAUUCUGAUUACUGGAUAAAGUCUUUGGGAAUGUGGCAUCUUUAGAUGUGUUAUAGCUCAUUGUUCGUAUACAGUGGUUGGGAUUGAGGAACUCAGCAUGCCUCUCUCACCAAGGGGCCGGGUUUUUUUUUAAAAACCACGUUCAUGCUUAGGAUGCUGGCAUAAUGGCUUUAAUCGA
This 258-nucleotide ribosomal RNA is filed under the name Agaricales sp. RNAcentral describes it as "partial large subunit ribosomal RNA". The record is from RNAcentral. Lineage: Eukaryota; Fungi; Basidiomycota; Agaricomycetes; Agaricales.